Long non-coding RNA from Hemicordylus capensis (graceful crag lizard), 1941 nucleotides. RefSeq lists it as uncharacterized. Lineage: Eukaryota; Metazoa; Chordata; Lepidosauria; Squamata; Cordylidae. The transcript is spliced from 3 exons. The record is from RefSeq and is a predicted model, not a curated record.
CCUCUCAUUUCCAGGCAGUGUUUGCUCCCUGACAACGUUUAUUUUCCUUCCUCUCCCUUGCUGGCCCGUUGAAUACCUGUUGCUAAUGUCCAUGCGUGACAGCUCUUGCGAACAUUCGAGGGCAGCUGCCAGAUAGCAGCGUGGAUGGCAGCCAGGCUGGCCGGUGGGUGAAGAAGAAUGUUUAGCCAAAAUAUGGUGUUUAUCUACAGUCCUAUCUCCUCUCACAUGGACUAGGGGAGGACCAGCUAUGUUCUAGCAAGGGAUUUGACAGAUUAAGCCUGCCUAUGACGGAGAAAACUUCAUGUGUUGGAUCUCUGGCUGUUAUGUAGCAAUUAAAGACAGAAGGGGAUGGGCCUACUUGGGGAAGAGCACCUGCAUGCUUGCAUGAAGAAUGUUUCAAGUUCCCUCCCUGGCAUCUCCGAGGCAGGGCUUAGAGACACGGGCUCCGCCUCCAACAGCACCCACACUGGCAUUACCUGCCCUGCCUAGUGCCCACCCAGCCCCAAGAGCCACCAGCCGCCACUGCUUGGAAGCGACAGCUGAAGCUUGUGUGUCUACAACCUCAAAAUAUGGCUAAUAAUCACAGUUGGUAGCAAAAUAAAGUAGCAUUCUGCUUGUGAUAUGACUUCUUGGUCACAUAACCUCCUUCAGUGCUUUUAACUGGCAGUGAAGAACCUUUUUCACUUAUGUUACUUAUGAGCUCUGUGAUCACAUUUCUCCAUAUGUUUACUGGGACAUGGAAGAAUGAAGCUUUGAAAGAAAUCUGCAUGUGGUGAUGGUAGGGAUUAUGAAGGUGGAGGUGUUGCUGAGUGUAAAGAUAAUAAUACCUGGAAUGUGCAACUCAGGUGUGAAAUCCCAAUAUGCCAAGCAGCAGUAUUUCAGGUAGAGGAUCAGGAAGGACAUCUGCCAGAGAUAAUGGAAAGUGGAGAGUGAGACCUGCUGCCAGUCAGAGCUGAAUGAAGCUAUUGAAGAGUUAUAAGUGUUCCUGUGUAGCAUACUUCAAAAACAGUCCUAAAUAUACUUUGGCAAAGAGCUCAAACAGAUAUCAAUUUCAAAAGGAUUGUAGUCUUGCUUAAGAAUCAGCACAUCAGUGUGUUUAUCUGAGCUCUUAGAUGCUCAUUUCAUGUCUUUUACUGGACUUAAGAAUGAGUUUAUGAAUCACACCAUUCCCAUAAAAUCCCUGUUUAGUUGUCUGCUUCUCUUCUUGGAGCCAACGUGAAAAAGAAAAGUUUAUUAAAACUUUCUUACUGUCUGAACACCACACUUGUUUGGUAUUGUUGCAGCAUUCAACAUCAGCACAUCCUUUCAAAAUUGAAACAACACCUUGCUUAUUUGCUGCAUUUAUUGAUCCUUGUAGUUGUAUUCAUCUUUUUGUGCUGUGGUGAAUAGUUUGGUAACUCUUAUUGUUCCUCACGGUUGGUGUAUUAAAUAACAUCUUACAUUUGCCUGUUGUAGUUCAAAAUGAGAAAUCAUCUCACAUGCGCACAUUUCCAAUGUUACAUAUUUUAUUUCAUUUCUUUCAUUUUGAGAUAAUAUGAGAGUAUGAAUAUUACAUUCUAUUUACCAACAAGUGAAAAGGAAAGUAAGAAACGAAGAAAUUAAUACAGAGUUCAGCAGUCCUUUUGUAAGAUAUAUUUAUGAGAGAUGGACACAAUGCAAUGGUUCUUAGACGUGGGAGCUGAUAGCUAGCAUUCUUGUUGAUAGCUGCAUUCUUCCUUGUAAAUGAAUUGAACUGAUAAAUGAUUCAUCGCCAAUAAUGCAGUAGUAAGAGGACUUGGGAUGUGAGAGGGCUAUUCCACAUGAAGUUCCCUGUUCUGGGAUGUAAUGCUACUGGAUUUUAACACUGUAUUAGUAUAGCAUUAAAGAUCUAAAACUAUAUCGAUUUAUAGCUUUGGAUAGAUCUAACGUUAUAUCCUUGGAUAAUAAAAAGGAGCAUGGCUA